UCAAGCGAACAAGGGCGCAGGGCGAAUGCCUUGGCACUGGGAGCCGAUGAAAGACGUGAUAAGCUGCGAUAAGCUUCGGGGAGCUGCAAAUAAGCAUUGAUCCGGAGAUUUCUGAAUGAGGAAACUCACCUGGGUUCAUACUCAGGUACAAUACACUGAAAUUCAAAAUAGGUGUAUUGAGGGAACCGCCUGAACUGAAACAUCUAAGUAGGGCGAGGAAGAGACAUCAAACGAGAUUCCGUAAGUAGUGGCGAGCGAACGCGGAAGAGGGCAAACCGGGAGUAGAAAUACUUCCGGGGUACGGACCGCAUUUAGGACUUGAGUUGUUAACCGAACGGCAUGGGAAGGCCGGUCAGAGAGUGUGAGAACCACGUAGGUGAAAACGGAGAGAGCUGCGCAGGAUCCAGAGUACGGCCAGACACGUGAAACCUGGUCGGAAUACGGGGGGACCACCCUCCAACCCUAAAUACUACCCAGUGACCGAUAGCGUAUAGUACUGUGAAGGAAAGGUGAAAAGCACCCCGGGAGGGGAGUGAAAAAGAACCUGAAACCCUGUGCCUACAAGCACCUAGAGCACGUCAAUGUGUGAUAGGGUACUUUUUGUAGAACGGUCCGGCGAGCGAUUGUAUGCAGCAAGGUUAAGGACUUAAGGUCUGGAGCCGAAGCGAAAGCGAGUUUGAAAAGGGCGUUAAGUUGCAUACAAUGGGCCCGAAACCGGGUGACCUACCCAUGGUCAGGUUGAAGUGGAAGUAAAAUUCCAUGGAGGACCGAACCGACCUCCGUUGAAAAGGCGGCGGAUGAACUGUGGGUAGCGGAGAAAUUCCAAUCGAACCCGGAGAUAGCUGGUUCUCCCCGAAAUAGUUUUAGGACUAGCCUCAAGUUAGAUACCUGGAGGUAAAGCACUGAAUAGCCUAGCGGCCGAGAGGUUAGCGAAGCUUAUCAAACUCAGAAUGCCAGAGUAUUGAUGCUUGGGAGUCAGACAGUGUCAGAUAAAUGUCAUUGUCAAAAGGGAAACAGCCCAGAUCUACAGCUAAGGUCCCAAAGUCAGGUUAAGUGGAAAACGAUGUGAAGAUACGUAGACAACCAGGAUGUUGGCUCAGAAGCAGCCACACAUUCAAAGAGUGCGUAAUAGCUCACUGGUCGAGCGUCUUUGCGCGGAGAAUUUAACGGGGCUAAACCUGACACCGAAGCUUAGGCAAUACAGCAAUGUAUUGGGUAGGGGAGCGUUGUAUACGCGGUGAAACAGUAGCGCAAGCGGCUGUGGAGUGUAUAGAAGUGAGAAUGCCGGAAUGAGUAGCGCGAAUGCAGUGAGAAUCUGCAUGGCCGAAAGCCUCAGGUUUCUGGAGGAAGGUUCGUCCGCUCCAGGUUAGUCGGGAGCUAAGGUGAGGCCUAACGGCGUAGCCGAUGCACAGACGGUAGAGAUUCCGUCACCACCAAAAGAGUUAAACACAGGGACACAUUUGAAGUCUCGGAGCCGGGUGUUGGUUCCGGUAGCGAUCGAGGGAAAUUAGUACCGAAGUCCGGGAUGGAAGAUGGCGAGAAAAGCUGUGUGUAUUUCUGCGGUGCCCGUACCGCAAACCGACACAGGUAGGUAGGAAGAAGAUUCUAAGGCCAACGGGAGAAGGGUUGUUAAGGAACUCGGCAAAUUGACCCCGUAACUUCGGGAGAAGGGGUGCUCCAGAGAUGGAGCCGCAGAGAAUCGGCCCAAGCAACUGUUUACCAAAAACACAGGUUUGUGCUAAAUCGAAAGAUGACGUAUACGAGCUGACGCCUGCCCGGUGCUGGAAGGUUAAGAGGAGAUGUGCAAGCAUUGAAUCGAAGCCCCAGUGAACGGCGGCCGUAACUAUAACGGUCCUAAGGUAGCGAAAUUCCUUGUCAGGUAAGUUCUGACCCGCACGAAAGGCGUAAUGAUUUGGGCACUGUCUCAACAGCCCGCCCGGCGAAAUUGUAGUACCGGUGAAGAUGCCGGUUACCCGCGACAAGACGGAAAGACCCCAUGGAGCUUUACUGUAGCCUAAUAUUGGGUUUCGAUGUUGCAUGCACAGGAUAGAUGGGACUCUUGGAAACCAAGGCUUUGGCUUUGGCGGAGAGGCCGUUGGGAUACCAUCCUUGCGAUAUUGGAAUUCUAACCUGCGGCUCUGAAUCGAGUCGGGGGACAUUGUUAGGUGGGCAGUUUGACUGGGGCGGUCGCCUCCUAAAGAGUAACGGAGGCGUUCAAAGGUUCGCUCAGCUUGAACGGAAAUCAAGCAAAAGAGUGCAAACGCAGAAGCGAGCCUAACUGCGAGACUGACGGGUCGAGCAGUAACGAAAGUUGGAGUUAGUGAUCCGGUGGUAUGUGAGUGGAAAUGCCAUCGCUCAACGGAUAAAAGCUACCCUGGGGAUAACAGGCUGAUCUCCCCCAAGAGUCCACAUCGACGGGGAGGUUUGGCACCUCGAUGUCGGCUCAUCGCAUCCUGGGGCUGAAGUAGGUCCCAAGGGUUGGGCUGUUCGCCCAUUAAAGCGGUACGCGAGCUGGGUUCAGAACGUCGUGAGACAGUUCGGUCCCUAUCUGUCGUGGGCGCAGGAUAUUUGAUGGGAGCUGUUCCUAGUACGAGAGGACCGGAGCGGACGUACCUCUGGCGCACCAGUUGUUCUGCCAAGGGCAUAGCUGGGCAACUAUGUACGGAUCGGAUAAACGCUGAAAGCAUCUAAGCGUGAAGCCGACCCAAAGAUAAGAUAUCCCA
This 2723-nucleotide ribosomal RNA is filed under the name human gut metagenome. Its description in RNAcentral is "bacterial LSU rRNA". It matches the Rfam family "Bacterial large subunit ribosomal RNA". The record is from RNAcentral.